UCCGAGUUGACCCCGGCAGUCUCCCAUGAGUCCCCGGCAUUACCCGCUGGCAACAUGGAACGAGGGUUGCGCUCGUUGCGGGACUUAACCCAACAUCUCACGGCACGAGCUGACGACGGCCAUGCAGCACCUGUGUCCUGGCUCUCUUUCGAGCACUCCCACAUCUCUGCGGGAUUCCAGGCAUGUCAAGGGUAGGUAAGGUUUUUCGCGUUGCAUCGAAUUAAACCACAUCAUCCACCGCUUGUGCGGGUCCCCGUCAAUUCCUUUGAGUUUUAACCUUGCGGCCGUACUCCCCAGGCGGUCAACUUCACGCGUUAGCUUCGUUACCAAGGAAUUGCUUCCCCGACAACCAGUUGACAUAGUUUAGGGCGUGGACUAC
RNAcentral lists this unclassified non-coding RNA (379 nucleotides) under uncultured Gammaproteobacteria bacterium. RNAcentral describes it as "contains 16S-23S intergenic spacer region". The record is from RNAcentral. Lineage: Bacteria; Pseudomonadati; Pseudomonadota; Gammaproteobacteria.